This 451-nucleotide ribosomal RNA is filed under the name uncultured bacterium. Its description in RNAcentral is "bacterial SSU rRNA". It matches the Rfam family "Bacterial small subunit ribosomal RNA", at positions 340 to 785 of the family's 1533-position model. The record is from RNAcentral.
UACGGAAGGCAGCAGUGGGGAAUAUUGCACAAUGGGCGCAAGCCUGAUGCAGCCAUGCCGCGUGUAUGAAAAAGGCCUUCGGGUUGUAAAGUACUUUCAGUCGUGAGGAAGGUGUUAAGGUUAAUAACCUUAGCAAUUGACGUUAGCGACAGAAGAAGCACCGGCUAACUCCGUGCCAGCAGCCGCGGUAAUACGGAGGGUGCGAGCGUUAAUCGGAAUUACUGGGCGUAAAGGGCACGCAGGCGGUUAAUUAAGUUGGAUGUGAAAUCCCCGGGCUUAACCUGGGAAUGGCAUUCAAGACUGGUUAGCUAGAGUCUUGUAGAGGGGGUAGAAUUCCAUGUGUAGCGGUGAAAUGCGUAGAGAUGUGGAGGAAUCCGGUGGCGAAGGCGGCCCCUGGACAAAGACUGACGCUCAUGUGCGAAAGCGUGGGGAGCAAACAGGGAUUAGAUAC